GUUGAACGCUGGCGGCGGGCCUAACACAUGCAAGUCGAGCGGAUGAAGGGGGCUUUCGCCUCGAUUCGGAGGGGGGCGGACGGGUGAGUAAUAGGAGUCUGACUUGUCUUUGGGCGGGGGAUAAGGUAAGGGGAGCUAAUAUCACAUCCGAUCAGAAGGUGAAACAGAGGGUUCUUCGGAGAAAGAGGUAAUUGCUGAACCUAGAUGGGAUUAGCUAGUUGGUAGGGUAAAGGGCUACCAAGGCGCCGAUCCUUGCCUGGGCUGAGAGGUUGAUCAGCCACUCUGGAACUGAGCCACGCUCCAGACUCCUACGGGAGGCAGCAGUGGGGAAUAUUGGACAAUGGGCGAAAGCCUGACCCAGCCAGGCCGCGUGUGUGAAGAAGUUCUUCGGACUUUAAAGCCCUUUAAGUGGGGAGGAAGUUCAGUAAGUUAAUACCUUCCUGUUGUGACGUUACCUACAGAAAAAGCACCGGCUAACUUCGUG
Molecule: ribosomal RNA, 484 nt
Filed under: uncultured bacterium
Lineage: Bacteria
Description: partial 16S ribosomal RNA
Rfam family: Bacterial small subunit ribosomal RNA
Source: RNAcentral